GGGGCUGGUUUGUGGACAUAGGUCUUGCAAACCCGGUCAGGUCCGGAAGGAAGCAGCCGUCGUAAGAUCCCUAUGGGUCACAUAAAGACCAGCCCCUCA
This 99-nucleotide signal recognition particle RNA is filed under the name Alphaproteobacteria bacterium 41-28. Its description in RNAcentral is "signal recognition particle sRNA small type". It matches the Rfam family "Bacterial small signal recognition particle RNA". Rfam says of the family: The signal recognition particle (SRP) is a universally conserved ribonucleoprotein involved in the co-translational targeting of proteins to membranes. Archaeal SRP consists of a 7S RNA and homologues of the eukaryotic SRP19 and SRP54 proteins. Lineage: Bacteria; Pseudomonadati; Pseudomonadota; Alphaproteobacteria. The record is from RNAcentral.